RNAcentral lists this ribosomal RNA (253 nucleotides) under uncultured bacterium. Its description in RNAcentral is "partial 16S ribosomal RNA". It matches the Rfam family "Bacterial small subunit ribosomal RNA", at positions 524 to 776 of the family's 1533-position model. The record is from RNAcentral.
UACGAAGGGGGCUAGCGUUGCUCGGAAUGACUGGGCGUAAAGGGCGCGUAGGCGGCUUGCACCGUCAGAUGUGAAAUUCCUGGGCUUAACCUGGGGGCUGCAUUUGAUACGUGUGGGCUUGAGUGCGGAAGAGGGUCGUGGAAUUCCCAGUGUAGAGGUGAAAUUCGUAGAUAUUGGGAAGAACACCGGUGGCGAAGGCGGCGACCUGGUCCGUGACUGACGCUGAGGCGUGAAAGCGUGGGGAGCAAACAGG